CUGGGCGUAAAGCGCGCGUAGGUGGUUUUUUAAGUUGGAUGUGAAAGCCCUGGGCUCAACCUAGGAACUGCAUCCAAAACUAGAUGACUAGAGUACGAAAGAGGGAAGUAGAAUUCACAGUGUAGCGGUGGAAUGCGUAGAUAUUGUGAAGAAUACCAAUGGCGAAGGCAGCUUCCUGGUUCUGUACUGACACUGAGGUGCGAAAGCGUGGGUAGCGAACAGGAUUAGAUACCCUGGUAGUCCACGCCGUAAACGAUGACAACUAGCUGUUGGGAGACAAGAUCUCUCAGUGGCGCAGCUAACGCUUUAAGUUGUCCGCCUGGGGAGUACGGCCGCAAGGUUAAAACUCAAAUGAAUUGACGGGGACCCGCACAAGCGGUGGAGCAUGUGGUUUAAUUCGAUGCAACGCGAAAAACCUUACCUACUCUUGACAUACUUGGAAGCUCUUGUAAUGAGAGUGUGCUUUUAGAGCCAAGAUACAGGUGCUGCAUGGCUGUCGUCAGCUCGUGUCGUGAGAUGUUGGGUUAAGUCCCAUAACGAGCGCAACCCUUACCCUUAUUUGCCAGCGGUUCGGCCGGGAACUAUAAGGGGACUGCCGGUGACAAACCGGAGGAAGGUGAGGACGACGUCAAGUCAUCAUGGCCCUUACGAGUAGGGCUACACACGUGCUACAAUGGGGAAUACAGACGGACGCUAAAGCGUGAGCUGGUGCUAAUCCUAAAAAAUUUCUCGUAGUCCGGAUUGCAGUCUGCAACUCGACUGCAUGAAGUCGGAAUCGCU
Molecule: ribosomal RNA, 780 nt
Filed under: marine metagenome
Description: bacterial SSU rRNA
Rfam family: Bacterial small subunit ribosomal RNA
Source: RNAcentral